This 312-nucleotide ribosomal RNA is filed under the name uncultured Prevotellaceae bacterium. RNAcentral describes it as "bacterial SSU rRNA". It matches the Rfam family "Bacterial small subunit ribosomal RNA", at positions 354 to 660 of the family's 1533-position model. Lineage: Bacteria; Pseudomonadati; Bacteroidota; Bacteroidia; Bacteroidales; Prevotellaceae. The record is from RNAcentral.
UGAGGGAAUAUUGGGUCAAUGGGGCGAAAGCCUGAACCAGCCAAGUAGCGUGCAGGAUGACGGCCCUAUGGGUUGUAAACUGCUUUUAGGCGGGGGUAAAGUGGCGGACGUGUUCCGCCUUUGCAAGUACCGCCAGAAAAAGGACCGGCUAAUUCCGUGCCAGCAGCCGCGGUAAUACGGAAGGUCCGGGCGUUAUCCGGAUUUAUUGGGUUUAAAGGGAGCGUAGGCGGGCUAUUAAGUCAGCUGUGAAAUCCGGCGGCUCAACCGUCGGCCUGCAGUUGAUACUGGUGGUCUUGAGUGCGCGCAGGGGCG